Molecule: long non-coding RNA, 249 nt
Filed under: Carica papaya (papaya)
Lineage: Eukaryota; Viridiplantae; Streptophyta; Magnoliopsida; Brassicales; Caricaceae
Description: long non-coding RNA (CPAP_LNC006173)
Source: RNAcentral
UUGUGAAGAUUUCUCACAUGAUUAGGAAAUAAAAUCCCAUGAGAAUUUUUUUUUUCAUGUCUUGCAGAAAUUUUCCCUUUUCUUGCUUAUUUUCCUCUUGCACUUUGGGAUGAAUAGUAUAUACUAUUAUACCCUCGGGUUAAUUGCCUUUAUUGUCUUCUUUUCUUGGGUUUCUUUAAUGGGUUCAAGCUCAUAUUUUUCAUUGAUCCACACUUGGAUAAAAAAGUUGAAUAGCUUGUUGUAUCUUUU